Molecule: transfer RNA, 69 nt
Filed under: Trigonopterus porg
Lineage: Eukaryota; Metazoa; Arthropoda; Insecta; Coleoptera; Curculionidae
Description: tRNA-Met
Source: RNAcentral
AAAAAGAUAAGCUAAUUAAGCUUAUGGGUUCAUACCCCAUCUAUAAAGGCCCUCAUCCUUUUCUUUUUA